This is a long non-coding RNA of Mobula hypostoma (lesser devil ray), 2668 nucleotides long. RefSeq lists it as uncharacterized. The transcript has 4 exons. The record is from RefSeq and is a predicted model, not a curated record. Lineage: Eukaryota; Metazoa; Chordata; Chondrichthyes; Myliobatiformes; Myliobatidae.
GUGUUUGUGUGUGUGCGUGUGUGUGUGUCUCUGUGUAUGUGUGUGAGAGAGAGUGUGUGUUUGUGCGUGUGUGUGUGUGCGUGUGUGUGUGUGUGCGUGUGUGUGAAAGGAUCAGAGCCGAUGGAUGCCUGCCGCCUCGGCCUCAGUAAAGGGAACGUGAACGAGAUCUGAAGAGACAGAAUUGAUCCCCAAUCCCGGGAUGUGCCCUCUGGCAGAGAGAAGGUCAUGAAACUAGUGAACUGUCAGCCUGAGCACUUCAGGCUUCGGUGAAAAGAGUCGGAACAGAGUUCAGUGCCGGACUCCCCGCAGAGGGCAGCCAGGUUGGCGUUUCUGCCUCAGCAUCCCCGGCCAGCCGUGCAGCAGGGAGCCAGUGAUCCAGGGCUGUGUCAGCGGUCCGAAAGCCGGGUCCCUCCUGACGCGGGCUCACUGCCGUGCAAUAAAUCGGUCCGCCCGCCGGCCAGCCAAGCAGGCAAGAAAGAGAAGCAAUCCACUUCAGCAGGGCUCAGCAACUCUCCUCGAUUCUCUCACUCACCUACAUACUGGGGGCUUUGCAAUGACCACCUAACGUGCCAAAUGCAAGCCCUUGUUAUCUGGGAGGAAGCCAGGACAGGCACAAACGCCACAGGGAGCAGUCCUGAUGAAAGGUCCUGGCCUUUAUUCAUUUCCAUGGACACUACCUCGCCUGCUGAGUUUGUGUGUGUUGCUCUGGAUGUCCAUCAUCUGCUGAAUCCCUAGUGUGCUGUCUGGAAUAGGGUGGCACGGCAGCAUGGUGGUUCGCACAGUGCUUUACAGUACUAUCGACCCAGUAUCAAUUCCCGCUACUGUCUGUAAGGAGUUUGUACGAUCUCCCCCGUAACUGCGUGGGUUUCCUCCGGGUGCUCUGGUUUCCUCCCCACAGUCCAAAGAUGUACCAGGUGGUAGGUUAAUUGGUCGUUGUAAAUUGUCCGGUGAGUUAAGUUCGGUGAUCGCUGGGCGGUGCGGUUCAAAUGGCUGGAAGGGCCUAUUCCGUGCUGUAUCUCAACGAAUAAAUAAACAAUCAGUUUUCUUUUGCUCUCUACUUGCUGGCUUAUAUAUAUGCUUCGGCUGAGAAUUAAUUCACACAUCCUGCUCCAGGCUGUGUGUGCCUCAGUGAAGAUUUUUCAGCAGUUGAUACGCAGUUUUUUGCCCUGUUUACAUGAGGUGCCAAAUCCCGUGUGUAUGAUGCCUAGCUGAGAUGGCUUUCAGCAAGCAGAAAGUCUGUGGGCAAGCGUAAGAGUGAAGUUGGAACUGUUUGUUCACUGACGAGACCAUAUGUUCCACUUUCAUGUGUCAAGAAUUUCAACAAGGAUGCAUGGUAACCUGCCUCAGUACUAUCACAGUAGAAGCACGCACAACAAGACUGUUCUGCUCACCCAGCCUGUUCCAGUUCUUUGAGUGAUUAGCCUCAAAUCCCUGUCCUUUCUCCAGAGCCUGCAGACCUGUCCUUGUCCAAUUCUCCACCGAAGUUAUUGCUACUUUGAUGUUCUGAUGGACUGGUCAGAGUACCAUCAAGUGGGCAAGUUUACCCAGACUGAAUAGCUGUGGUCGCCAUAGCAAAAUCAGAUUCAGGUUUAUGAUCGCUGAUAUACUCUUACACCAUGAAAUUUGCAACAGCAGUACAGUGCAAGAUAAAAAAAACUCUACGUUCCAAUAAAAAUAAAUCAACCAAGCAAUCAAUAAAUAAAUAAAUAGUGUGAAAGAGAGUAUUCAUUGAUUCAUGGGCUGUUCAGAAAUCUGACGGCAGAGGGGAGACAACAAUCUGUAGGAGUCUGUGGUGUAAACCCUAUGUCCAAUGUGAAGUGAUGUUAUUGACUGGAAUUAAUGGCAUUUUAGUGUUUUGGAAAUCUAAGUGAUUCAGAGAUUCAGUCAUGCUUCAAGAAGUAAUAAUUGUUUAAAACUUAUUUUAAAACAAAGUAAAUGUUUUGGUCAAAAUAAAAGUUCGGCAAAUAAACUCUCUCUUGAUGCAAAACCCAUUAGAUGAAGCACAUAAGUUGGUGCAAGGUACAUAAUUGACACUGCAGGCAACAGGUAUAAACAUGAAUUUUAUUUUUGUUACUACGUUACUCUCCCAUGAAUAUAUUUUGAAAUCAGUGGAACUAUUCAUCCUUCACCAGUCCCUAAUUUGCAUCGCUCUGACUUGGUUAAUUAGAGCAUGUGGGUUGAAUUGGCAAAGGCUUUGAACAAGGCAUUGGAAGUGAAUGAAACUUGGAGUUGAAUACAUUCAACCGCAUCUCGUUAGUUGUUUCCUGUAAUUACAAGUAGAACUUGUAUUUUUAAUUAGUUGUUUCAUAUAAACUCUCAAAGCUCAGAGCACUCCAUGUAAAAUUAAUUGCUUCUGCAGAACUGGUGUGGAAAUUUCUUGGUGCUUGUUUUAUAAGUGCAAAAUAGGCAUCUUAUUAUCCAACAUGAUCGUUGUUACAUUUAACAAUCAUUAUGGCCUUGACUUUUAAUAGCCUCCCUUCUCACUAAUAGCCAGGACAUAAUCUUCUCGAAUGGAGAAGGUUCAAAGGUCACAAUGGCAGAUGGUGGCUGAUCUUCUGCAGUGAAGAGUGACAGUGACCUGCUUCUGAGGGCACAGAGACGGAGAUGGUAUUGGUGUUGGUAUAGCAACUGGUACUGGAAUUGUGAUUAGUUUAUUAGUAACACAUGU